UGCUAUGGCAGGCGCAAGUUGGAAUCAGCUAGCGCAAGACAGGGGUAAUUGGAUAUAACAGGGAGAGGCCUUCGUCCUGCAGUGGACAUAAAUAUAGGCUAAUGAUGAUGAUGAUGCUGUGGCAGUGUCUCGUGAAGCAUUGGCCUUGCUACAAAGUGCGUUAAAAAUUUUUUUAAAUUCUACAUUCACGUGUCAGUGCUAGAGCUUAGCGUGUUUUACCAUUGAAUCACACAUUUCAAGUGCCGAUAAUAAAUUCAGAAUAAAGGUAAAAGUGUGGCAUCAACUAUCACUCCACUUCAAAGGAGUUGCUGAUAAUAUCCAUCCUGUCAGCGACAAGUUUGAACUAUUUUAUCAGUUAUACAUUUUGCUAUAAAAGAAAAUCCCAUGUAUCUCUCUACAUUUAUGUGAAAAUUGCAUGAUGGUGUACCAUCAAUGCUUCUGGAAUUUUUACUUUUUCUGCUGCUUCUGCAUCGUACUGCACGAUCACUUGCAAUUUCUGCCAUUUAUGUCCUAUUGGAAGGAAUCAGAACUAUGUUAAGUUCAAAACAACAUAUCAUAGCUCAUGCAAGCCCUAUUGACAGCGGUUUUGUUGAUUAGUGGUUUAUUAUGCAGACCUUCUGCAAAUGACAACAGCCAUAAUGGAGAAAAUUUGGUUCGGCUCUGUGAGUUCCUUCCUUACUUGAAGCUUCCAUCGUCACAGCGGAAAAAUUUCGGGCUUUUCUUCUGAACACGUGUAGUUUGACAGCUGUGCUGGUAUCUGCGAUAAGAGAGAUAUCUUUGCGACGUGUCACGUUCUUGGCCUUGGUUGAAACCUGACGCGUCUGUUGGCACGUGGCGUGGGCACUCCACCAACUUUGUCCUCUGAUAUUAGGCUUACUUGUAUUCUUUGGAUAGUGGACAUUCUGGCGGCAAAAAAAAAAGGGAGUGUUAACAAAAUAUUCAGCUCCAAAGGUUUCAUUUUUUGGUUCUUUUAUAACUUACUUGGCACACUUUCUUUUCCUUGUUGGUUGCAUCUUCUGUCCUUCAUUGAUGCUUGUGCCAGCAAGCUUGCCGAUGUUUUUUCCUUUAUGGUAGUCAGCCGUGUAGGAAGCGCCAACUCGACAUGAACGUAGCACCUUUUUGCGCAAAGCAGUUCCUCUUAACAGCCUGGCAUCUUCAGUGCAUAGCAUUCUAGGCCCUCUUGCACACUUUGAACUAGUACUGACAUAACGGUUUGGACUUUGUCUUUCUGUUUUAGUUUCAUUAUGCGAAGUUUUAAUCUCCCUAUACCCUUGAGAAAAAAGAAUACUGGGAAGCAUCAGAGUGCCCUAAAUAAUUUACUAUAUAACAUUUUGUUUCUGUGAACCAGUUUCAGUUUUGGUAUCUAAGAGGUUGAUGUGUCAUGAUAUGCUGCCUUGCUCCGUUCUUGCAAUGGCUGCAGCUGCCACGCAAGAGCAUAACCAGGAGAAACAUUUACGGCCCUCUUGUUCAUUCUUUUUAUGAACGACGUCGUCGUACCUAGCCCUAUUAAUGCAUCACAUCAGCCAGUUUUGCUCUGUGUCAUGAUGUCACGAUAAUGUCUGUGAUGCCACAUCCGGCAUAGCGAGACCAACCUUAGUAUAAAAUUAAGAUACAAGUGCUUCUCAGCCUUUGUACUUGCCAGGUGUCAUGUCUUUACAUGCCAGACGUGUUGUACAGUUUCUACAAAGAAACUAUGUAUCGUACUGGUUUAAGAACAGCACCGAAGGACAUGUAGCAGGCCCUUUGUGUGCAAAGAUCUCUUUGAAAUGGGUCACAAGCUUCUCAUGCACUUGGCAUGCAGCAGCGCAACUGAGGACAAAUUGCGCUUGCACCCAUAACGCUCCUGCUCGCCUACUUGGGUGCUGCUUUAUGUGCUCUUUCUUUGAUGGCUUUUCUCACACAGACCGUCCAUCCUUAUCUGUUCUCUUUUGUUGAGAGGGAAUUUCUUUAAUGUCGCAUUCUCUCGCAGCCUCCUUAAUUGCUGCUCAUCUCGCUUGUAUUCGUCGUCUAGGCUGUGACUGAGGUCCCUCUGCGAGUGCUAAGGCUGUCCCAUGAAACGCUGCACGUUUAAAAGUGUCUGAUUAACUUACAUAGCUUUUACACAUUCUCUCUGCUUCUUCAUUCCUCCUUUCGUGCGGGGCCUCGCAUUUAAUAAUCUUCCUUAUUCAAUUAACCCCACAAAGCCCAAUGUAUCAUAUUUAAUUCGCUUAGUUUCAUACCUCAAAGUGAUUAUUUAUGCGCAAGAAAUUUAAAGCAAGAGCCAUAGUAGUAUUUUUUUUUUUAUAUGUAUAUCGGGUGGAGUAAAAUUUCAGUUGUGGAGAGUUUAGCAAGCCAAUUACUCAAUAAUUACUGCUAUACUAAUCAACUUAUCAUGCAAAUAAUCUUCUUUGUUAUUAAUGUACCUUCCACAACCAGGAAUAGAGGUCAUCAAGUUGUUAAAAUUUUCCUUGAUGUCGAAUGGUGUUCAGGCUUUCUGGGGAUAAGUAACUUUAGACAGGGCAUUGUUCCUUCCACGUCUCACCACAGCACUCUUGGUUCAUCUCAACUUUCACCGUCUUUGAUUGGCUUUGGUACCGUCUUUCUCUUGUACUCGAAAAUCAACUGGAUUGUACAGGGCGGUCCACUGUUAAAGGGAGCAUGUGAGUACAGAGUGAAUUUUCUCGUCUGGCAGGUGUGCAGUCGCCCGGGUUUGCAGCAGAUGAUUUGUGGCUGGUGGCGCUGGCACCUUUCUACACACCUGCACAGGACAUUGACGUAGGAUGUUCUGCACUUGCAGCUAGAGUGCUUGCAAACUGAGACACGCAUUAGAGAGUUACUUGUAACAGUGGACAGCACUGUACCUUUUAAGCCGUAUUCCAACAAGAACCGUGUAUAUCCAACAAGAACGGUAAAAUUUUACCGAACAGGAACCAGUGAUUAAAUGCUUACACGAGGGAAGAAGUAGAAGGAGCGCUGGGCUUACAACUGUAAAUGUACUUCUGGCGCUGGCUAUUGAUCGGACUGAAGAUUACACUCCCUUCUUUGUUUUGUUUUUAUAAUCCUGUUAAUUUCUGCACAAGUGCAGGAUUGUGACAAAAGUGUGAUUGUGACGUUGCCAGUGUUUUUUUACUCACGCCUGUUGCGUGUGUGGCGUAUCGCUCUUGGAGAUAGCAUGGGCACGUGACCCGGAUGGCUGGUUGUGUGGGCGUGGACCACACUUGAACGCUAGCAAUCCGGGAUACACCUCUUGAGAGAGCUGCACUCGAGCACGCUGAUUAGGGUUUCAGGAAGGAAGGGUGGGUGUGCUUAAGAGUGAGACAAUGGAUGACACGAGUUGGACACUCCGACCUAUCUUCACCACCAGGAUGCUGCAUGGAUGCAGACCAAUUGAGGCACUGCUAGGAAUGUCAGCCAUCACUCUUAUGAUAGCCUUGAUCGCAAAUCCUGGAACUUAGAUUAUAAUGGCACUUCACAACUGAGAGAGCAGAGUUUCCAGAAAACAAGAUUCUGCGUGUAGCUGUUUUUCACUGUGAACAUGUUUUCACUGUCUGUACUUUUUUAAUUUUUUCUAAAAUAGAGUUCCUUCAGAGGGACACUUAGCGGGGAAGCCUGGUUUUAGACAAAUAUAUUUAAAGACCUUUAUUCUUUGAGGUCUGUUGCUGAGAACUUGUAGAUGUGUGUAAUUUUACUUGCUUAUUUUGAAUAUGAGGUCCAUCUUUGCUUAUGAUCUCAUUUGUUCCUAAAAUGUUUUUUUCUCAAGACCAGGCUCGUUCCUCAAGAGGCACUAAGUCAGUUUAUGCUGACAAAUCAUAUUUGAAAAAGUUCCUUUUCAUUUCUUGGGUGUGAAAAUGUUGAUCACUGCCAGGGAAAUUAAAGCUAAAGUUUAGUUUUGAAUUCCACACCUUAAUCGUAGCAUCAAAGUCAUUUGUGCGACCAAAGUCACAGAUGUCAUUGUCUUUUUGCCACAGCACACAGCUGAACUACACGUAUGCUGAAGGCAUGGUGUAGCCUGUAUACUUUUGACAAAGGCUGUACGUUCACACCAAGGUUUGAACUAUAUCUAGCUGGCAACAAUGCAGAAGCUCCGGAAGUAUGAAGUGAGGUCAUAGAAGCCUCGCUGCACACCUUUCACAGUGCAGUUGUUCUUGAUCUGUGACGCUUUCGAAAGAAUAAAAUACAAUCGAACCCACUUAUAAGAAUGUUCAAUUGAAAAAAUAUUAUCCCACUGUUAUAAACAAGUUGUAUGAAAAAUAAGCAGAGGACAAGCAUUCAAACAUUUAAAUAGAUAAACAGAAGUAGAGUCGUACCCCCACUUAUAGCAUUACUGAUUUUAACAGUAUUUGGAUGCAACAACAAGCAUCUGCUGCGCUGUGAACCUUCGUGUGUGUUCCAUGGUAAAAUAAACUGCUUAAUAAAAUGCUCAUGCCUCGUUAUCAGCUAAGCAACUAUCGGUUAACAAUUAAAUCUGGCUACUGGGUGUCUGCACAAAAAAAGAAA
Long non-coding RNA from Dermacentor silvarum, 4476 nucleotides. RefSeq lists it as uncharacterized. Lineage: Eukaryota; Metazoa; Arthropoda; Arachnida; Ixodida; Ixodidae. The record is from RefSeq and is a predicted model, not a curated record. The transcript has 2 exons.